GGAAUCGGUUCUCAACGGCUUUGGCGAGAGGGAGAUGUUUUCCCACAUCAUCCUUAGCGGAAAAAAUAAAUGAAGAGAAUAGAUAACCCCGCCUCGAUACGCAACGCCUCGCCGGAGAUGGUGUUCGCCUGGCUCAAGGAGAAGAGGGCUCGUCCUUCCGUGCCGGUGCGAUGCAACUCGCUCGCUGAAGAACUGUCAGGAUGUCCUGAUGCUUCAGGAAAGAGUCGACGGCACACACGCAGAGGAAAAAAAAAAAAAAAGGCUGCAAAACCUCUGGCAAGGGCACCCACCCUAUAUAUAAUGUAUAAAAAGGUCUCCCGGGUGGGAGUACCUCCCACGGGGAAAAGGCGAUGCUCCAGCUUUUCCUCCAGGACUCGUCCCUAUUUUACCUCCCGACGUGCUUACAGAAAUACGGAACCUCCUGCCGGGUCUCGCAGGGGCUCGGGCGGAAGGUGGCCAUGGCACAAACGGGGCGUCCUCCUGCAAAGGGGUUUCACCCCCCUCCGACCCUGCUGCUGGGUGGGAAGAUGUGGUUCGUGGUUUUUCCCUCGGCCGUACCUCUCCCUGGCUGCGCACCAAACGAAUGUGAAGGUGCCCUGGGCAGCUCGCUGGUUUUGCCGGAAAAUCUCAGGUCGUCUGCUUUUGAACGGGUUUCGACCCUAUUUCUUAAGCAACAAUAGCCUAUUUCCAGGCAGAUGUAACCGCAGCUGUAACUGCGUGCCUCUGAGACAAGCCCCGGGCAGAUUCGUCCAUAUGUGCCGGGAGGACCUCGCGUAAACCUCUGCUGCAACAGUCAGCACCCAAAUCGCUUUGUAAACUGACGUCAGGAGCCGGAGGUGUCGAGAGUGAGAUGUUUAUGGACUGCAGGGACAGAAGGACAUGCCACCUACAAUUUAGAGGGGAAAAAGUAAUGAUUUCUGGAACCCAACCGAAUAUUAAGCCCGGAGAAAUGUGCAAAUAUAAUACUGACAGCGAGGGGUUUAAUUUUACCGACUUUACAAACUCUUAGCAAAUUAGCUCAGCGGGUUUUAAUAGCUGGCAGGCAGUCCCCUUCUUCUCCCAUACUCCUUUUAUGGGGAAAAGCCCGUGUCCUUUGGGGCUGGGAGGCUGCGAUGCGAGCAUUCCUGUAGCCGCUUACAACCGAACGGGAGGAAAUGCUGGGGGCUUGGAUCGGGUGCGCGGGGUGACACGGUUCGGCCCGCUGUUACCACUCGGAGCCGCUGUUCCUGGGAAAACCGACCCAGAUCCCCUUCCUGCUGCUUCACCUUUAGGAUAAAAAGCCAGGGUUUGGCACGCCCGGCACCGAGCAGCGUUUCGCUGUCAGCACUGCGUGGCAGCAUUUCUCCCGAGCUAUCCCACCUUGCAAGACCCCCUGAAGGAAAAAACCGUACGGAUUAUUUACUCCUCGAGCUCUCCAAAAAAAGAGAGAAGAUGCCUUGUCGAUGCCCAGCGCCAUGCCAGGAGGCCCCCGGCAGCUGCACACACCGGGAGCCCCCGCUCACAGCUGUCUGCAGGCAAGACCAUCUCCUGAAAUCAGUCCUCUCCUUGACUCUUUCCUUAUUUUUACGCCGAUUUUCCUAUUGCUCAAGUAAAUGGUUGUAUAUUCCUCGUCUUCUGACGUAUUUAAAUGCAGCCCGGGCAGGAUUAAAUUGAUUUACUAAUAAAAACCAAGCCGUCGUAUUCAAAUGGCCGGAUGCGUCUUGUAGGCAUUAAUUAAAGCUUUUGAAUUUUUCUGGGAAAUAAACGUUGUGAUAUUUAG
Long non-coding RNA from Oxyura jamaicensis (ruddy duck), 1759 nucleotides. RefSeq lists it as uncharacterized. NCBI's taxonomy places the organism in Eukaryota, Metazoa, Chordata, Aves, Anseriformes, Anatidae. The record is from RefSeq and is a predicted model, not a curated record. The transcript has 3 exons.